GAGGAAUAUUGGUCAAUGGGCGAGAGCCUGAACCAGCCAAGUCGCGUGAAGGAAGAAGGUUCUAUGGAUUGUAAACUUCUUUUGCAGGGGAAUAAAGGACGGUACGUGUACUGUUUUGUAUGUACCUUGCGAAUAAGGAUCGGCUAACUCCGUGCCAGCAGCCGCGGUAAUACGGAGGAUCCGAGCGUUAUCCGGAUUUAUUGGGUUUAAAGGGUGCGUAGGUGGAUUGUUAAGUCAGUGGUGAAAGUUUUCAGCUCAACUGAAAAAUUGCCGUUGAAACUGUCGAUCUUGAGUGCAAAUGAGGUAGGCGGAAUGUGUUGUGUAGCGGUGAAAUGCUUAGAUAUAACACAGAACUCCGAUUGCGAAGGCAGCUUACUGGGAUGCAACUGACACUGAUGCACGAAAGCGUGGGUAUCAAAC
This 420-nucleotide ribosomal RNA is filed under the name uncultured bacterium. Its description in RNAcentral is "bacterial SSU rRNA". It matches the Rfam family "Bacterial small subunit ribosomal RNA", at positions 356 to 773 of the family's 1533-position model. The record is from RNAcentral.